AGACUCAUGAAAGAUUUUAAUAGCAUGCUACAGUGUAGAUAAACUAUUUCUUUAGUACAGGUGUUUCUAUAUAAUCUCCCAAGGAUUCCUCAACAAUCUCAAAAGUAAUUGAAAGGAUUAUGAAAGUAUUUCAGUAUGACAAUGGAAACCAGCUAAAAGCAUACAUUUGUGAGCAGAUAAGGUUCUUUUUUCAACAAACUUAUUCCUCUAACAAAGUUUUUUUUUUUUUUAACUGCUCCAUUGCAAACUGCAGCUUGAUAUGCCGAGAGCACUUAUUUCUAAAUCAGAUAUUUACUGGUUAUUCAUAAAAUGUAAAAGAGAAAAUAGAAAAGGUUACAAAGUUCAAAGGAAAUUACUCUCUGCUUGCAGUUUGACAUAGCUAUGAUCACUGGAGGCUGGGUGAACAGGGCACUGUUCCACCAACCUCAGUCUGCCCUUAGCCAGCCCCUACCUGCCUCUCUCCUUGCUUACAUCUGCUCCAGAGGUUAGCACAGACUGUCAGUUUCCUCCUCCUUAGCCUCAGUGCUGCCCUUGUACAAUUUGGUAGGGAGAAGGAUGGGGACACAAUUCGAGUUAGUUGACUCUGCCUGUCAUUGGCUCAAGCUCCACCACCUCCUCCUUGUCUUCUGCCCUAUUACCAGCUACCAGGGCUUGCCCAAAACAUUUAUGCACCUGAUGAAAACCAGGGGGAAAGUGGGGAGUGAAAACCUACAUCAGAAACAAGGGGGAGUGAAGAUCUACAUUGGGAACAAGGAAGGGAAUAAAAUCAAUGUUACCCAAUUAUUGAAGUGGGAAUCAAAGGUUGCUGCGGGGGGGGGGGGCUCUGAAUCAUGGGUGGAUGCAGACCCCAGAAGCCCCCAGAGGGCAGCCCCCACCAUUUCCUUCCUGGGGGUGGCAGGAGACCAGCAGCACCUUCUAUUUGCCAAGAGACUGCAGUAGAGGUGGCAUGGUAGGGAGCUGCUGAGGAGGUGGAAGAUCUGGCCUCAAAAGAGUGUGAAACAGCAGCAGCAGGCAUUGCAUUCCUUUGAGGCUGGAUCUGCUGCCUUUGUGGGUCCUGCUACCUGAGGUGGGCACCUCACCUUGCUUCAUGGGUGGGCCGGCCCUGCCAGACACCACAGGAUAACAUACUGUACAAAUGAACAGUUGUAAGAAAAGUUAUUUGGCAGACAGAAGUAAUAGUUGGGGUCAGGGACAGGUAUGUUCACCACUCAUUGGCUGCAACAUCAAGUGGUGGACUUCAAUGUUUGUAUGGCAAGUCAGAUGUAUGACAGAACUUUCAUCUCACCCCAGACACAGUUUUGUCAAAGGAUUGAGUUCACAUUUCCAGUGAUCCUUUUUUAGAUGUUAAGGGACCACAUCUAGGGGUGGAGGGGAGGAGAAUCAAGACCACAAACAUUGUCCCAACUACAUGUUCUUCCAUAAAUAUCCGUAGAAUCUAUACAAAUACAAGUGAUACAUGCAUAGCCUCUCUCUCCAUGAUUGGAACCACUGCAAAAAGCAGGAUAUCUAAUUACACACAUAGACCUAUGAAUGCACAUAUAAAGAUCUCCCUCUUCUUUGACCCAAAGGAAGGAAGGAGCAGUCAAAGCCUGAGUACCUUGAAAGCCCCAAUCCUACUUCUUACAACAAAGGAGGAUUGAUGAAUCUCUUGCUCCUAUAUUAGGAGGGCCAGGACUCUGAUGAUUCUUGGGCUCUCAUUUCUGCAUAUCUAAUUCCUGCACAACUUUCAUUUCCAAUGUUUCUUUAUAUUCUUCCUCACUCUGUUGAGUGCCAGUUCUGGGUUGCUGAUUUUUGUGGCUCACCACUGGGUUAUUUUACCUAGAAAGAAAGUGCCUGCUGAAAUCCCUGAAAUCUGCUAUAUUGCCUCCUACACUGUGGCAAUGAUAAAAAUGGAACUAUUCCUUGGAUAUGCUGCCACUACUCUUCCAGCUGUCUUUCCCCAUAAAUUGGAACCAGUGUGGGUCAGUAGGGGUGUAAGAAGGUAUAGUUUUCCAUUCUACUCUGUUCUCAUCACAUGCAGCACUGUUUCCAUUUUACUAUAGUUCCUCUUCCAACAAAAACUACAUUAUUUCUUUUGUAACAUACAUAAUUUACAUAUUUAAUCUUCCCCAGUCUUCCGCAGCCCUAAUCUGGAGAGGAUGAGGCUUGAAGAUUGAGAGAAGUCAUGUGUUUUAAAUGGUCAUUUCAUGUGCUUCAAAUAUAUGGUGUGGAUGUGACCAAAGUUGUGUUUAAGAAAGAAAGAAGGUGAGCAAGACUAAGAAGCUGAGAAAUGGGAAGGGAAACAGGUAGGGGUAUGGAACCCACAUUCCUUCAUGAGGAAUCUCCUGAAGACAACAUACUACUGAUCAGUGUAACUGGAGGAAAAAUGGAUGUGGUCAAAGACAAAAGUGGGCAGUCCAAUAAUUGUUGCCCUGGUUCCGUCAUGGAAACAGUAUUUAGACUCUCGGCAAAAUUAUUUGCAAAAGCUUUCUUCCAGAAUUCACCACAACACACAAACACAGAUCAGGUUAUAAGGUACACACACCAGUGGUUAAAACAGAGCUCUAAAGUUCUUGGCUAGGCAUAAGCUAAGUCAUUGCCCCAACACUUGACACUCACUCUGAGCUCCCCUUUUUGAAAAGCCGGGCAGGCACACUUAUUUGUGUGGGUUUUGUCCCAAAACCAGAGGCCUAGGCAUGCAAGAUGAGAACUUCUAAAGGUGGGCUGGGUCUGCUUAUCCGACCCAAGUCACAUCCUAUCCCUCGAGACAGAGGCAGGGUCAACAGUGUCUGUAUAAUAUCCGGUUCAGGCUCCUGUGCCUCUCUGAGGGUGGGAAUCGCUUCACUGGCAGGAGGCAGAGCAGAGUCUAAGUCACGCAACACUCCCUUGAGGCUCAAGAUGUCCAAUGGUACUGAAGCAGGGUUUUCUUCCAACAACCUGCUUAGCCUCUCCCUGGAGAUCCCUCCCAGGAUCAGGCACUUCACUGUCUUCCCAUUCCUCCUGACCCUCUCACCAGUCUGUCAACAUGUCUCCAGAGGCCUGACAACAGAUGUGCAACUUUCCUUUGUACAUUUCAGCCACACAAAAGUUGGAGGCUUCUGCACACUCAUUCCCAUCUUUCACCCACUUCAAAGAGAGAGUCAAAAAUCCCACAGGGUGCUUAAAAGCUUUUGGGCUAUUAGGAGCCCUUGGGCAUGCCUGAAGUAAUACCUUGCACACAAUCAUAAAAAUAAAUUAAUCCAGUAGCUGUUUUUCUCAACAAAAACUUAACUUGGAGUCCUUGUUCUUUACACUGACUAUUAUUAAGGCAGGAAAUACCUAAACACACACACAUUCUUACAACACUUUUUCAUGUUUGGAAGCUGCUCACUACAUCAAAGCACAUCCUAUUUUAUCAAUCAUAAGCAUCUUUGGCAGCAAAUUUCUCCAAAAGCGCUCCUUCCCGUAGAACCAAAAGCAAGUUUAUUUAAUAUACAACAUUGCAAAAUAUCAUUUUACUUCUGCUAUUUGCCCAAAGGCGGUUAAUUUCAAAUAUGAGAUUCUGACACAAAAUUUACAGCUCAUGUUUCACAACUUUUAUUAAAGUGAGUAAGGGAUGAUGUCGGGGGAUUUAAGAGAGAGAAUUAGCAAUAACUACUGCCAAUUUAGCCCGAUUUGGCAGCUUAUUGAAAAACCAAAUAUGAAGUUAGAAAAAGAGAAGUUAAUCCAGUUGCACUGGGUGGAGGAGGGAUGAAAAUAUAAAAUGUGUACACCGAAGUUUACUAACACUGCUGUGCUGCAGUGUUAAGAUGUCUGGAUUUUAAUGUAUUGUUUCUUCCCAAGAAAGCAAAAACAAUUAAGAUAAUUACACUGUAUAGAUAAUAUUUUCAUUACAGCUAAACUGAAGCUGCAAUGUGUUCUGCAAGUCUUUUUUAGCAAUGCCAGACACACCUCCCCUUCUUUUCUUAAUUUUUAGGGUAAUCAUUGAAAAUGGCUUGCUUGUUUAUUUAAAUUGCCCGCACCCUCAAUUGCCCUCAGUGAUGUCACCCUGCAACCAAGCAUCACAAUGUCAUCCAUUCGCUGUGAGAUAUUCUACUAUCUAUAUAUAAUAACAAUAAACAUGAAAGAAAUGCAAUGUGACAUGCUAGUAUAUUGGUCAAAAAGCCUCAGUUCCAUAGCACUACAGGUAUUGAAGAGUGAAAGGAACAUUAGCGAAAACAGGACAGCACUAGUAUUAUAAUCAGGAAAGCUAGCACAAUAUUCCCCUCAUCGGAAUGCACCCCAGGAUGAGAUUAUAUGUUUGUCAUGUGAUUAACUCUCCAGGACAUCUAACUGCAAACCCAGUCCAAUCCAGCUGAGCAAAGCUGACAGACAAUACAUGUGAUGGGGCAUUCACUCUCCCUUUAUAUAUGUGUGUGUGUCAACCAAUAUGGGGAAAAAAAAGAAAAACAGAAAAAUGAUUUAAAAAACAACAACAGAAUAGAUAUGAUUUUUCCUCUUUCCCUAUGUUCUAUAGUCCAUACACCUGAUAAAUUAGAGAGGUUUGGUGGUAACACAAGGGUGUUUGGUGAUAUAUUUGUCUCAGAUCAUGCAUCAUAUUCUGACAUUUUCAAAUGAUAGAUCAAUACAGAGAGAGAGAGGGGGGGGGAGAGGGAGAGAGAGAGAGGGAAAGAGAGACCCUGUAGUAUUUUAUAAAUAAUGAGAGGUUAGCAAAAAGUGCAGGCAACAAAGAACAAAUCAUAUUUCUACCUGAGGAAUUUUUAAGAUCAUGCCUCAAAUGUGAUAAAUGUGGCGCAUGAGAGUUCUAGUAAAGCUAUUAAUAUGCUGGUUAAUAUAAAGAGUUUC
Molecule: non-coding RNA, 4803 nt
Organism: Podarcis lilfordi (Lilford's wall lizard)
Lineage: Eukaryota; Metazoa; Chordata; Lepidosauria; Squamata; Lacertidae
Source: the annotation of a GenBank genome assembly